Long non-coding RNA from Neopelma chrysocephalum (saffron-crested tyrant-manakin), 578 nucleotides. RefSeq lists it as uncharacterized. The transcript is spliced from 3 exons. The record is from RefSeq and is a predicted model, not a curated record. Lineage: Eukaryota; Metazoa; Chordata; Aves; Passeriformes; Pipridae.
CUGACACGUCAUCCCAUUGCUCAUCACUGAUGAGCCUGUUUUUUGUCCCUUUGCCCCUUCCAAGCUAGUUUAAAGUUCUAUCAACAAGCCCUGCUAGCUCCUGUGAUAGAACUCUUUCCCCUAUGGAGUCAUGGAAAGUAUUGUACAGCAAUAAUAACUGAAUCUGCAAGUCAGCCUGAAAAUAUGUGAAUUGCUGCAGCAAUCAUUACAAGAAGAAAUUAUUAAAAGGGUUUUGAUGAUUGUGUCACUAAAAGUACUGCUCAUCUUCACAUGCAAAUCUAUCCAGAAGCAGACAUGAGUGAGCUGAGAAGACACCUUCAGCUCCACAAUUUUGAGAAUCAUUGUACAUAAAUUUCAGGAUACAAGAGGACUUACCUUGUCUUUUGCCAGUUGUCGUUUGGGAACCCUCUUGUGCAAAAAUAUUUUUUACUGAAAAACAUCCAGGGACUCUCUGCCACCUUUCCAUAACCAAAACAUACUGAGCAGCAUGCCUGCCCUGCUGUAGGCUUCUGCUAUGUCUCAGAUUUAUUGAAAGUUGAUUUAUAUGCUAAUGAUUUAAGUGAGAUCUUCACCUAUUA